RNAcentral lists this ribosomal RNA (301 nucleotides) under uncultured bacterium. Its description in RNAcentral is "partial 16S ribosomal RNA". It matches the Rfam family "Bacterial small subunit ribosomal RNA", at positions 509 to 808 of the family's 1533-position model. The record is from RNAcentral.
CAGCAGCCGCGGUAAUUCGUAGGUGGCGAGCGUUGUCCGGAUUUAUUGGGCGUAAAGGGAGUGUAGGCGGUCUUUUAAGUCUGAAGUUAAAGGCACUGGCUCAACCAAUGUAUGCUUUGGAAGCUGUUAGACUUGAGUGCAGAAGGGGAGAGUGGAAUUCCAUGUGUAGCGGUGAAAUGCGUAGAUAUAUGGAGGAACACCGGUGGCGAAAGCGGCUCUCUGGUCUGUCACUGACGCUGAGGCUCGAAAGCGUGGGUAGCGAACAGGAUUAGAUACCCCUGUAGUCCCUGUCUCUUAUACA